AGUGAACGCUGGCGGUAGGCCUAACACAUGCAAGUCGAACGGCAGCACAGUAAGAGCUUGCUCUUACGGGUGGCGAGUGGCGGACGGGUGAGGAAUACAUCGGAAUCUACUUUUUCGUGGGGGAUAACGUAGGGAAACUUACGCUAAUACCGCAUACGACCUACGGGUGAAAGCAGGGGAUCUUCGGACCUUGCGCGAUUGAAUGAGCCGAUGUCGGAUUAGCUAGUUGGCGGGGUAAAGGCCCACCAAGGCGACGAUCCGUAGCUGGUCUGAGAGGAUGAACAGCCACACUGGAACUGAGACACGGUCCAGACUCCUACGGGAAGCAGCAGUGGGGAAUAUUGGACAAUGGGCGCAAGCCUGAUCCAGCCAUACCGCGUGAGUGAAGAAGGCCUUCGGGUUGUAAAGCCCUUUUGUUGGGAAAGAAGAGCAGCAGGUUAAUACCCCGCUGUUCUGACGGUACCCAAAGAAUAAGCACCGGCUAACUUCGUG
RNAcentral lists this ribosomal RNA (492 nucleotides) under uncultured bacterium. Its description in RNAcentral is "partial 16S ribosomal RNA". It matches the Rfam family "Bacterial small subunit ribosomal RNA", at positions 29 to 507 of the family's 1533-position model. The record is from RNAcentral.